GGCUUUAUAGUCAAAUUAUGAUAUUAAAUUGCAAGUUUAAAGUUGUAAGUAAUUACUAAAGCUU
This 64-nucleotide transfer RNA is filed under the name Stenophyella macreta. Its description in RNAcentral is "tRNA-Cys". Lineage: Eukaryota; Metazoa; Arthropoda; Insecta; Hemiptera; Pachygronthidae. The record is from RNAcentral.